UAAGUGUCGUCUGUUCUUAUUAGGCAACUUUUUAAAGACACAAUUACACGUUUACCCUUAUUGAUCCCACUUAAUUAAAAAAAAGAUAGACACAUUUUUGAUAAAAGAUAAUUUGGUAAACUUUACCAAGUCUUCCCUUUAUUCUUAAACUCCGUGCCCGAUCAAAUGGCGACACAUAAAUCAAAUAUGCAAAUUUGUAGCCGC
This 204-nucleotide long non-coding RNA is filed under the name Capsicum annuum. RNAcentral describes it as "long non-coding RNA (CANN_LNC017038)". Lineage: Eukaryota; Viridiplantae; Streptophyta; Magnoliopsida; Solanales; Solanaceae. The record is from RNAcentral.